This is a long non-coding RNA of Helianthus annuus (common sunflower), 560 nucleotides long. RefSeq lists it as uncharacterized. NCBI's taxonomy places the organism in Eukaryota, Viridiplantae, Streptophyta, Magnoliopsida, Asterales, Asteraceae. The record is from RefSeq and is a predicted model, not a curated record. The transcript has 3 exons.
GAGACUUUUUGAGCUUCAUAAGUUACACCUCACUCACGUAAUUUUUCACUGUCAAGCAUCAAGCAUCACCAACCGAAAGAAAAAUCUGGUCGAAGUAUACUUGCCCGGUGGUAAGAAGAUGAAGCCAUUUGGCUACAUUUCGUGCUUUAUUGCUCUCUUUGCACUUGCUCUACUAUCUUAUGUGGAAACACUUUCAACUCAUAAUCAACAAGAUGUUGAAGAACAAAAGAACUGGCAGUUCGGCCAAGGCAGCGCGGUGACUGGGGCGCUCCCCCCUACGCUUGCAACUUCAUGGAUGGUCUCGGUCAUAAUUUGGUAUUUUUAUUGAUGCCAUGAUGGACGGAAGAAGACGAUGCGAGUAAAAUGCGGUGAACUAUUGGUGUCAUUUCAUAUUGUAUAAUAUUGUAACAGUAUAUAUUAAAGUGUAGAUUUGUGAUAUAGGGUGUAAGAAUAAGAACGAUGGUGUAAGAAUAAGAACGAUGAUAUUGUAUUUAUCUUUUGUGUAAUAAUAAUUAAUAAUUUCCACCGGAUGGUGGUUAGUGUUAUAAGAUACUUGUGAA